AAAAUAAUUUUGGGUAUCUUAUGAAAAGAUACAUCUAGAGGAACAUUUGGUUUACUGCAGGGCUUGUUUCCGCAUCCUUUUAUACCGCAGACGACCAUGAUAACCGAUCAGUUGCUAGCAAGCUUCUGUAACCGCUGCUUUAGUAGGGUAAACAAAAUGGCCGCUGAAGCAGCGCGCAAAAGACUGAUGACGUCACGUGAAAACGUGGUGCAGCUCGAUUAAAAUUAAAAUUCAUACACAAUUGCAUGCACAAAACUAUUCAUGUCUCAUUCAUAACCGUUGAAUACCGUUGAGGUUGGACGUACUUCCGGAAGAGCAGCGCGAAAAUGGAAUUUAAUGAGACGUUUGAUAUCAACAAUAUUACGGAUGGUGAUUGCUUGCUACAUAUGCAAGAAAGUGGUAGUACUGUUACCAGUGACAGUCAAGACAAAUUUACAAAUCAGUGAUGUUUGCCAGUCCUUGGCAAAUGAUAAGUGCUUGACAUCAAAUGACAGAACUUUCUUUAAUCAAGUUUACUAGGAUGAAAUUCAUGAAAAAAUCCAGUUUUCUCACGGCCAAGCCAAAAACCUGGAUAGGGAUCUGGAACAUCAGAACCCUAUGCUUCUUUGGGGUGAUUGUGAGAAAGGAGAAAAGAAGAUACAGGCUAACAGGCUGGGAUGCAAGAAGCUUGCUUUGAAGGAAGACAAUGUGUGAGUGGUUCUAGAAGCAGAUGGCACAGAAGUUGAUGAAGAAGACUACUUCAGUUUUCUUCCCAGUGAUGCGACUCUGUUAUUUCUUACAAACGACGACAAGUGGAGACAUGAGAGUUCC
Molecule: long non-coding RNA, 810 nt
Organism: Pomacea canaliculata
Lineage: Eukaryota; Metazoa; Mollusca; Gastropoda; Architaenioglossa; Ampullariidae
Exons: 5
Source: RefSeq, a predicted model, not a curated record